UACGGGAGGCAGCAGUCGGGAAUAUUGCGCAAUGGAGGAAACUCUGACGCAGUGACGCCGCGUAUAGGAAGAAGGUUUUAGGAUUGUAAACUAUUUUAGACAGGGAAGAAAAAUGACAGUACCGUGUAGAAUAAGCUCCGGCUAACUACGUGCCAGCAGCCGCGGUAAU
This 169-nucleotide ribosomal RNA is filed under the name uncultured rumen bacterium. Its description in RNAcentral is "partial 16S ribosomal RNA". It matches the Rfam family "Bacterial small subunit ribosomal RNA", at positions 340 to 524 of the family's 1533-position model. The record is from RNAcentral.